Non-coding RNA from Podarcis lilfordi (Lilford's wall lizard), 97 nucleotides. NCBI's taxonomy places the organism in Eukaryota, Metazoa, Chordata, Lepidosauria, Squamata, Lacertidae. The record is from the annotation of a GenBank genome assembly.
GUUCAACAUAGCUCAGUUGGUAGAGCAUGAGACUCUUAAUCUCAGGAUCAUGGGUUCAAGUUGGGCAAAAUAUUCCUGCAUUGCAGGGGGUUGAACU